AUACAAUAACUGUUCUAGCUCUACCGUAUCUUUUGUUUCAUUU
RNAcentral lists this small RNA (43 nucleotides) under Arabidopsis thaliana (thale cress). Its description in RNAcentral is "ATSL087500". The record is from RNAcentral. Lineage: Eukaryota; Viridiplantae; Streptophyta; Magnoliopsida; Brassicales; Brassicaceae.